This 1163-nucleotide long non-coding RNA is filed under the name Elaeis guineensis (African oil palm). RNAcentral's name for it is "long non-coding RNA (EGUI_LNC010203)". Lineage: Eukaryota; Viridiplantae; Streptophyta; Magnoliopsida; Arecales; Arecaceae. The record is from RNAcentral.
GCAUACAAUGUGGGAAGACGGUGAAGUUAAACACUAUAAAUAAUAUUAAAAUAAAAUAACAUAAAAAAAAUAUAAAGAAACAAACAAAUAAACAAAGAAAUGAAGUAACUAAAACUUUAUUAAAACAAACUCAUGCAUGAAAAUAUACAGAUGGAAACACAUAUGAACAAAACAAACUUACACGGUGAAGAAGCAAAAAGAUGAAUAGUAUUUACACAGGUGGGAGAUAGCAUGCAAGAGCUUACUUCUCUCUGACUACGGAACUCUGAAAGCACACUGGAUUUUUGUACAAGACUCAAAAACACACAAAGGAUGGGACUGUACAAGGACUCAAGAAAAGGAUAUAUACAAUGGUACAAGACAGGAGGAAGAAGAACAAUUUAGAAGAAUACUCUCUCUCUCACUUGUAACUUCUACCUGAUACAUGAUCUUCAAUAAGCUCUUAAAGGAAGCCACUGGCUUUAGAAUUACUCGUGAAGCUCUAUUAAGACAUAUGUCAAGGCUUACCAAGGCUUGUUCUUCAAUACUGGCAUCUGGGGUCUUCUAAUAGAAGCUAAGGGUGAGCAUCUUGCUUGGUGGUGAAGUCAUCUGGCUUGGAGAUGAAGUAACUUGGAGCUAAAAUAAUGAAUAACUUUUGUUGGAGAAGCAUCUUGCUUGCUGACAAAGUAAAGCAACUUUCUUGAUGGUGAAGCAACUUUAUCGGUGGAGUAACUUUUGAAGUAACUUAUUGAUAAAGCAUCUUUUGCUGGUGAUGUGACUAAUUUGUUGGUAGUGAGGUGAAGAAAUAACUUUUCUGGAGAACCAUCUGGCUAGUUAUCUUGUUGGUGCAGUAUUUUGUUGGUGGAGCAUCUAUCCAUUAUCGGUGGAGCAAUGACUUAUCGGUGAAGAAACAAAUUUUGCUGGGGGAGCAUCUGGCUAGUCAUCUUAUCGAUCGGUGAAGUUUUUUAUAGGUGGAGCAUCUGUUGGUUGUUUUUGUAAUUGAUUUGGAGAAGGAUUAGCGUAGUCUUUUUUUCUUCUCAAGAUCGGAAGAAGGAUUAGCGUAGUUUUCUUUUCCCUUCUUCUUUGGUGCUUAUUUCUAUAGGAUUUCUUCUUCAGUAUUUGAUUGUGGGGUUGCACCAUUAGAAGAAGAUUCUUCUUCUUCAAUCUGGGCAAGUGAUUCAAGA